UAACCGGCGAUACCCGAAUGGGGAAACCCAGUGUGAUUCGUCACACUAUCAUUAACUGAAUCCAUAGGUUAAUGAGGCGAACCGGGGGAACUGAAACAUCUAAGUACCCCGAGGAAAAGAAAUCAACCGAGAUUCCCCCAGUAGCGGCGAGCGAACGGGGAGGAGCCCAGAGCCUGAAUCAGCAUGUGUGUUAGUGGAAGCGUCUGGAAAGGCGCGCGAUACAGGGUGACAGCCCCGUACACAAAAGCGCAUGUGCUGUGAGCUCGAUGAGUAGGGCGGGACACGUGGUAUC
This 292-nucleotide ribosomal RNA is filed under the name Salmonella enterica subsp. enterica serovar Mbandaka. RNAcentral's name for it is "partial 23S ribosomal RNA". It matches the Rfam family "Bacterial large subunit ribosomal RNA", at positions 101 to 433 of the family's 2925-position model. The record is from RNAcentral. Lineage: Bacteria; Pseudomonadati; Pseudomonadota; Gammaproteobacteria; Enterobacterales; Enterobacteriaceae.